UACGUAGGUGACAAGCGUUGUCCGGAUUUACUGGGCGUAAAGAGCGCGCAGGCGGUCGAUCAAGUCGAGUGUGAAAGCCCCCGGCUCAACUGGGGAGGGUCAUUCGAUACUGAUCGACUCGAAGGCAGGAGAGGGUAGUGGAAUUCCCGGUGUAGUGGUGAAAUGCGUAGAUAUUUGGAGGAACACCGAUGGCGAAGGCAGCCCCCUGGGUUAACACUGACGCUCAUGCACGAAAGCGUGGGGAGCAAACGGG
RNAcentral lists this ribosomal RNA (253 nucleotides) under uncultured prokaryote. RNAcentral describes it as "partial 16S ribosomal RNA". It matches the Rfam family "Bacterial small subunit ribosomal RNA", at positions 524 to 776 of the family's 1533-position model. The record is from RNAcentral.